This 231-nucleotide non-coding RNA is filed under the name Pseudomonas lutea. Lineage: Bacteria; Pseudomonadati; Pseudomonadota; Gammaproteobacteria; Pseudomonadales; Pseudomonadaceae. The record is from RNAcentral.
CCUACACGCCUUGUUACGGGUGCCCUUCACAGGGUGAAACGGGAAACCGGUGCGCGCAGACCUUCGGGUGCGCAAGUCCGGUGCUGCCCCCGCAACGGUAAGCGAGCGAAGCGUCAAAUCCACUGUGUCGGUGACGACAUGGGAAGGUGGCGCUUGCAGGCACUGACGCAGUGAAGGUUGCUGCGUGCGCCCCUCGCGAGCCCGGAGACCGGCCCGACAACGACACAUAAC